GACGAACGCUGGCGGCGUGCUUAACACAUGCAAGUCGAACGGGAUGAUUUAGAAGCUUGCUUUUAGAGAAUCUAGUGGCAAACGGGUGAGUAACACGUAGACAGCCUGCCGACAGGAUGGGGACAACAUUCCGAAAGGAAUGCUAAUACCGAAUGAAGCGGAGGAGAGGCAUCUCUCCUCCGUGAAAGAUGGCCUCUGAACAUGCUAUCGCCUGUCGAUGGGUCUGCGUCUGAUUAGCUAGUUGGUGAGGUAACGGCUCACCAAGGCGACGAUCAGUAGCCGGUCUGAGAGGAUGAAACGGCCACAUUGGGACUGAGACACGGGCCCAGACUCCCUACGGGAGGGCAAGCAGUGGGGAAUCUUUCCCGCAAAGGGCGCAAAGCCUGACGGAGCAAACCGCCGCGUGAGUGAAGAA
This 415-nucleotide ribosomal RNA is filed under the name Selenomonas sp. oral taxon G55. RNAcentral describes it as "bacterial SSU rRNA". It matches the Rfam family "Bacterial small subunit ribosomal RNA", at positions 28 to 412 of the family's 1533-position model. The record is from RNAcentral. Lineage: Bacteria; Bacillati; Bacillota; Negativicutes; Selenomonadales; Selenomonadaceae.